UGGGGAAUUUUGGACAAUGGGCGCAAGCCUGAUCCAGCCAUGCCGUGUGCGGGAAGAAGGCCUUCGGGUUGUAAACCGCUUUUGUCGGGGAAGAAAAGCCUUGGGUUAAUACCCUGGGGUGAUGACGGUACCCGAAGAAUAAGCACCGGCUAAUUAUGUGUUAGUAGUUGUGGUACUAUGUAGGGUGUAAGUGUUAAUCGGAAUUACUGGGCGUAAAGCGUGCGCAGGCGGUUGUGUAAGACAGAUGUGAAAUCCCCGGGCUCAACCUGGGAACUGCCUUUGUGACUGCAUAGCUAGAGUACGGUAGAGGGGGAUGGAAUUCCGCGUGUAGCAGUGAAAUGCGUAGAUAUGCGGAGGAACACCGAUGGCGAAGGCAACCCCCUGGACCUGUACUGACGCUCAUGCACGAAAGCGUGGGGAGCAAACA
This 427-nucleotide ribosomal RNA is filed under the name uncultured bacterium. RNAcentral describes it as "bacterial SSU rRNA". It matches the Rfam family "Bacterial small subunit ribosomal RNA", at positions 355 to 774 of the family's 1533-position model. The record is from RNAcentral.